GAAAUGCGAUACGUCUUGCGACUUGCAGAAUCCAGUGAAUCAUCAAAACUUUGAACGCACCUUGCGCUUCUGGGUAUGCCCAGGAGCAUGCUUGUCGGAGUGUCUGUUAACCCCCCUCAUCCAAUGACCUCUCCUUGUGAGUUGGUUCGCGGAUUGGUUUUUGAGCGUUCGUGCUGUGAGGUACUGUGCGCCUAAGAGUAGUCUGUUGUGCCCUAACUUGACUUAAAACUUCUCUGAUGUGACGGUGGUAGGAACAGUUGGAGACUUCUGUUCUGGCUUCUUUCAGCAUUCGAGGCAGUCAGACUUGCGGCUCACCAACAGAGAGAGACUGUGCUUCGGCACAAACAAACACUUAACAUCGGACCUCCGAUCAAGUAAGAGGACCCGCUGAAUUUAA
Molecule: unclassified non-coding RNA, 397 nt
Filed under: uncultured fungus
Lineage: Eukaryota; Fungi
Description: sequence contains ITS1
Rfam family: 5.8S ribosomal RNA (bases 1-105)
Source: RNAcentral